GACGAACGCUGGCGGCGUGCUUAACACAUGCAAGUCGAACGGUAAGGCCCCAGCUUGCUGGGGUACACGAGUGGCGAACGGGUGAGUAACACGUGGGUGACCUGCCCCGCACUUCGGGAUAAGCCUGGGAAACUGGGUCUAAUACCGGAUAGGACCGCACCGUGAGGGUGUGGUGGAAAGUUUUUCGGUGUGGGAUGGGCCCGCGGCCUAUCAGCUUGUUGGUGGGGUAAUGGCCUACCAAGGCGGCGACGGGUAGCCGGCCUGAGAGGGUGGACGGCCACAUUGGGACUGAGACACGGCCCAGACUCCUACGGGAGGCAGCAGUGGGGAAUAUUGCACAAUGGGCGGAAGCCUGAUGCAGCGACGCCGCGUGGGGGAUGACGGCCUUCGGGUUGUAAACUCCUUUCACCAUCGACGAAGGUUUUCUGACGGUAGAUGGAGAAGAAACACCGGCUAACUACGU
RNAcentral lists this ribosomal RNA (463 nucleotides) under uncultured bacterium. Its description in RNAcentral is "partial 16S ribosomal RNA". It matches the Rfam family "Bacterial small subunit ribosomal RNA", at positions 28 to 506 of the family's 1533-position model. The record is from RNAcentral.